This 324-nucleotide ribosomal RNA is filed under the name Levilactobacillus brevis. RNAcentral's name for it is "bacterial SSU rRNA". Lineage: Bacteria; Bacillati; Bacillota; Bacilli; Lactobacillales; Lactobacillaceae. The record is from RNAcentral.
AGUGAGUGGCGAACUGGUGAGUAACACGUGGGAAACCUGCCCAGAAGCGGGGGAUAACACCUGGAAACAGAUGCUAAUACCGCAUAACAACUUGGACCGCAUGGUCCGAGYUUGAAAGAUGGCUUCNGCUAUCACUUUUGGAUGGUCCCGCGGCGUAUUAGCUAGAUGGUGRGGUAACGGCUCACCAUGGCAAUGAUACGUAGCCGACCUGAGAGGGUAAUCGGCCACAUUGGGACUGAGACACGGCCCAAACUCCUACGGGAGGCAGCAGUAGGGAAUCUUCCACAAUGGACGAAAGUCUGAUGGAGCAACGCCGCGUGAGUG